AUUCAUUUUACUUUAGAUCAUUCUGUGAUGAAAACAGUUACCAAAAAAGUUCUCCAGAUGGAAGGAGUGCCAAGUCAGAGUCUUGGCCGCAAAGAAGCCUGUAAGUAAUGGAAGGAAACACUCUGCUGGUCAAGAAUGUUACCCUCCUGAAGCGCUACCACCUGGAGUGUCUGGUUUCCGGCCAUUGUGUCCUGCAGAAAGUGCAAAAAGCAACAGGUCCAUCAGAAUUUCCUGUGACUGUGACAGUAGAGAGUCCUUCCUCCUCAGAAAU
Molecule: long non-coding RNA, 271 nt
Organism: Mesoplodon densirostris (Blainville's beaked whale)
Lineage: Eukaryota; Metazoa; Chordata; Mammalia; Artiodactyla; Ziphiidae
Exons: 3
Source: RefSeq, a predicted model, not a curated record